Molecule: long non-coding RNA, 2123 nt
Organism: Oncorhynchus mykiss (rainbow trout)
Lineage: Eukaryota; Metazoa; Chordata; Actinopteri; Salmoniformes; Salmonidae
Source: Ensembl
AUGGAUCCCUCCCUCCCAGAAGGCAAGUCUCCUAUCUCCCAGCACGCAGCCACCCUACAACAACAAGGGAAUGGGUUUGUAGGAGUUGAUGAGGCAGACCCCUCUAUCUUCACCCUACAUCACACGGAUACAGGUACCCGUGGCAGCAAUUCCCCCUAUACAGUCACUGCCUUGGAUGAGAACAUCACCACAGAUGCAAAAGACAGACCACAACAUGACAUCAUCGACCUGGACUCCACCGGCCCCUCCCCCAGUUUCCAAAGGAAAGGCUCUGACCAGAAGAGCCCAUCCCAGUCUGGUCACCCUGACCCCAGUGUGCUCUUGGAGGAGAACCUGUUGCCUCCUGCAGGGUCAGCAGUGGAGCAGGGAAGGAUUAGUAGUGGCUCUCACACACAGAAGGGCCAGGGGAACAGUGAGGAGGUCGGACAGGCUGGUUCUGAUCACACAGGCUUGCUGACAGUGGCACCCAGUGAGGGUGAUGUCAUAGUCGGAUCUGACAACAAGAUUUACAGGCUCCUGAGUGGCCCUCCAGGGCCAGUUGGCCCUCCAGGAGAACAAGUAAGAAUCUCUUAGGGACCGUUUUUAGAGUUAGAAAUGCUCAUAGAGAUAUUUGUUUUCAAAACUCAGAUCCUUUAAAUAUCACGCCACAUAGAAUCAAAGUCAGUGAUUUCAUAAAACCAAAGUGAUUUUCUGAACACAUGAUUUUACAGAGACAGGUAGCAGAAUAAACUGACAUAUCAGUGAGUGUCUUAGAAUAGAGAAUAGUCAUCCAUUUGUUCCUCAUGAGAAGUACUGUAUGUCUUCACGGGUUUAUUCAGCUAUGGUUUUCUUGUAAAACAAUGAUAUCUUUGUCUCUAUUGGAAAAUGAAAACAUCAGUGGUUUAAUAACUGUCUUUAAUUUGAAUUCAAAUAUUCCCCACUGCAGCUCACUUAAUGCAAAAAAACCUCCCUUUAAUCUUUUGAUUUUUUAUUGCUUAUAAGUACAGGUUAUGGAAAUACUGUACAAACGCUGUGGUUAAAUCUACCCAUAUGACAUGGACACAGACUGAUUCAUAUGCAUUCUACAAAAUUACAGGAGAGAAAAUAAACAUCUCAAAAAGAUGUGGCAGUAAUAUGCUACUGCAGACCAAAAUGUACACUUUGACACACUCUGUUGCAUCAUCUUUAAGUUCUAUUGCCAAACUGUGAUCUUUGCCUGUUGUUCCAGUAUCUUUAUAAUUUCCUGUAAAUAUCUGUCCCUAUGUUCACCACAUUUUCAUGUUUACAGGGAUGUGCUGGCAAAGAAGGCUAUAUUGGGUUCAAGGGAGACAUGGUAAGGGAAUAGAUCACUGGUGAAAUAAUUGUUUUGAAAAUUUUUCAGUAAUGCUGCUGAAUGAUGAGUAAACCCCAAAUGACUUAUGGAUGUCAUUUUUUUGGUAAGUACAGUAUGUGAAUUAGUUUUUUCAGUGUGUGUGUUGGUUCUAUACAGAUUAAGGAUCUUAAUUUCAGCCCUUUUUCUACAGCAGUAAAAUAAUCCUGCAGCAACAGGAAAUUUGAAUUAUUAUGUGGAUUAUAAUUAAUUAAGAUUUUUGUAGGGGUUGAUACGUUUUUCAUAAGGGAAAAUCGUCUGAAGUUUCAAAGUGGAAAUUACAAACUUCAGAAGCCUUUUUGAACCUCAAAUACACAGUUUUAUAUUUCCUGCAUUGCAGAACAGUUCUGCAACAGGGUGAUCAAAUUAAGAUGCUACAUCUGUACCUGUUGGGACUUGUACUUUGUUGAUCACAGUGGUGUAAAGUACUAAAGUAAAAAAUACUUUAAAGUUCUACUUAAGUCGUUUUUUGGGGUGUCUGUACAUUACUUUAUUAUUUAUAUAUUUGAAAACUUUUACUUUUACUUCACUAGUUACCUAAGGAAAAUAAUGUACUUUUUACUCCAUACAUUUUACCUGACACCCAAAAGUACUCAUUACAUUUUGCAUGGCUAGCAGGACAGGAAAAUGGUCCAAUUCACGCACUUAUCAAGAGAACACCCCAUGUCAUCUCUACUGCCUCUGAUCUGGCGGACUCACUAAACACAAAUGCUUUGUUUGUAAAUGAUGUCUGAGUGUUGGUGUGUGCCCCUGGCUAUCCAUAAAAAAAUAUAUA